Papaver somniferum (opium poppy) is the source of this 1867-nucleotide long non-coding RNA. RefSeq lists it as uncharacterized. Lineage: Eukaryota; Viridiplantae; Streptophyta; Magnoliopsida; Ranunculales; Papaveraceae. The transcript is spliced from 3 exons. The record is from RefSeq and is a predicted model, not a curated record.
UUUUUUAUUUUUGGCUAGGGUUAUUCUUUCUUAUUUCUUAGUUUUUUAUGAAUAUAUCGGUUAAUGGCGAUUUUUAAUCUGCAUAUGCCGGUGUACCUCUUCUCAUUAUACUUCCGAUAAAUGAAUGCAUGCUACGAUGCCAUAUAUUGAUAAGGUGAUAAAUUUAGGCUGUUUUGCAAUUUAAUCUGUUUUUUUUUUGUUAUUUUGACCUAGCUUUUUGCGAUUCAAUCCUCCAAUCAAUGGAUGAAGUAAUGCAUUCUUACGGUCUAGAUUUUGUAUCAAAUUGUUCCAUUCUUUGGAUUCUGGAGAGAUUCAAGGUUCAGUUGAUUUUGUAUCAAAUGGUUUCCACCGGAAUCCAUCUGAUCUUUCUUUUUGUGGUAAUCGGUUUACGGUAAUAUCUGGGGCAAUAAGAGAGGUCGUUAGCAGUGAUAUCGAUUCUAUAAUCACAUGGUGUGGCGGUGCGAUAUAAUCACAUGGUGUGGCGGUGCUACAUAAUCACACAGUGAGAUUGGAUAGUGAAAUCAUGUUGUUGUUUUUUGGUAUUUUUUGGUGAUUUAAAUAGGUAUUAUUGGUUAAAUUGCUCUGGGAUUUUAUUGGUUGUUUAGCUAAUCCUAAAUUGUGGGUCUUAUUGUUGAUGCUUUAGAGCAGUCAUUGUUGUAUGUUCUUUUUCCUGUUGUUUUUUUUCUACUCUAAUUAUUCUUAUUGCUUUUUUUACCGGAAGAAUCAAGAUGUUUCUUUUUUACGUGUUGAUAUAUUAGUUUUUACUGUGUAGAUUAUGCUUUUUCGUUGGUCUUGCUUUUUUGCUGCUUAAAUCCACCAUAUUCAUAAGUAGUUUUCUCCGGCUGCUGUAUGUGUUGAUUUAUUAGUUUUUGUUGCUUAGAAUAUACUUUUGUCUUUUGUUGGUGUUGUUGCUUUCACUGCUUAAAUCCACCAUAUUCGUAAGGUAGUACUCAUAGGAAUCUAUGAUGUCUUAUGUCUUGGGAGGUUAAUAGGAACACAACAUUUGAAAGAAGGGAGAAGAAUGAAGAUGUCAAUAAGCUGAAGAUCAUAUGCGGUACACUGACUACCAAGAUGGCACAAUGCUUUGGCUACUUGAUAGUUGUUGUUUUUCAACCUACGUGUUGUACAUGAGUGAAGUCUUUCCUCGCAGCUGCUCAGACCACUCCUGAGUCAAGCUUGCAAUUGCUUGAAGAGCGCCUCCUCCAGUAUUGUUGGGAUUGGGAAUGUUGCCUUAUUCCCAAACAAAUGCAGUGUUAAUAUCCGUUAUAUAAGAUCAACCCUUUUACUGGACGCACUAAAUACAUAUCUUUAGUAUUCUUUAUUGUCACGGUUAUUAGUGUUUUUAUUUAUUAACCUGGAUAAUUGAGUAAUUUAUUAAUAGGGGUGAUAAAGUUGUUUAAAAAAGUUUGGAGUUCUAUAUAUUUGCUAAUGUGUGUUGCUGCAGGGUAGAGUAAGUAUCAGCUACUAAUAUAAUCAUGAUAAAAUGGAUGUUCAGUUGAUUAAGCACCUACUUGUGUGAAGCUUAAUUAUCAAUCAUUCACUGAUUACUGCGCAGGAAAUUUUACCUUUUCCUAUUAUUAUCAUCCGUAGAAACCACCUACGUAGUACAUUUAGCUAAUCUCUGUGAGAUAUAGCGGAAGUUUCUUCUUGCAUGCAGCAAGUAAAAAUUGGUGCAUAUGGAAGAAAAUAAAUGGUAGUAUAAUUUAUCAAAGGAACAUAAGCAAACACCAAAAAGAGAUUGUUAUGAAGGUUUUCAACUGGGAGUUGCCAUCAAAGAGUGCGAAAAAGGUGGUGAACUAAUGUGCACUUUGGCAUGAUUUCUUUUUGUACAUUCUUUAGUAUUUUUUUUUCCAUUUAAACUUUUUAG